AGUCGAGCGGUAGAGAGAAGCUUGCUUCUCUUGAGAGCGGCGGACGGGUGAGUAAUGCCUAGGAAUCUGCCUGGUAGUGGGGGAUAACGUCCGGAAACGGACGCUAAUACCGCAUACGUCCUACGGGAGAAAGCAGGGGACCUUCGGGCCUUGCGCUAUCAGAUGAGCCUAGGUCGGAUUAGCUAGUUGGUGGGGUAAUGGCUCACCAAGGCGACGAUCCGUAACUGGUCUGAGAGGAUGAUCAGUCACACUGGAACUGAGACACGGUCCAGACUCCUACGGGAGGCAGCAGUGGGGAAUAUUGGACAAUGGGCGAAAGCCUGAUCCAGCCAUGCCGCGUGUGUGAAGAAGGUCUUCGGAUUGUAAAGCACUUUAAGUUGGGAGGAAGGGCAGUAAAUUAAUACUUUGCUGUUUUGACGUUACCGACAGAAUAAGCACCGGCUAACUCUGUGCCAGCAGCCGCGGUAAUACAGAGGGUGCAAGCGUUAAUCGGAAUUACUGGGCGUAAAGCGCGCGUAGGUGGUUCGUUAAGUUGGAUGUGAAAUCCCCGGGCUCAACCUGGGAACUGCAUUCAAAACUGACGAGCUAGAGUAUG
RNAcentral lists this ribosomal RNA (595 nucleotides) under uncultured bacterium. RNAcentral's name for it is "bacterial SSU rRNA". It matches the Rfam family "Bacterial small subunit ribosomal RNA", at positions 60 to 650 of the family's 1533-position model. The record is from RNAcentral.